CCUACGGGAGGCAGCAGUAGGGAAUAUUGCUCAAUGGGGGAAACCCUGAAGCAGCAACGCCGCGUGGAGGAUGAAGGUUUUCGGAUUGUAAACUCCUUUUGUUAGAGAAGAUAAUGACGGUAUCUAACGAAUAAGCACCGGCUAACUCCGUGCCAGCAGCCGCGGUAAUACGGAGGGUUUAAGCGUUACUCGGAAUCACUGGGCGUAAAGAGCGCGUAGGCGGGAUAGCAAGUCAGAUGUGAAAUCCUAGGGCUUAACCAUAGAACUGCAUUUGAAACUGUUAUUCUAGAGUAUGCGAGAGGUAGGUGGAAUUCGUGGUGUAGGGGUAAAAUCCGUAGAGAUCAAGAGGAAUACUCAUUGCGAAGGCGACCUGCUAGAACAUAACUGACGCUGAUGCGCGAAAGCGUGGGGAGCAAACAGGAUUAGAUACCCGAGUAGUC
RNAcentral lists this ribosomal RNA (440 nucleotides) under uncultured bacterium. RNAcentral describes it as "partial 16S ribosomal RNA". It matches the Rfam family "Bacterial small subunit ribosomal RNA", at positions 338 to 795 of the family's 1533-position model. The record is from RNAcentral.